Non-coding RNA from Cinara cedri, 366 nucleotides. Lineage: Eukaryota; Metazoa; Arthropoda; Insecta; Hemiptera; Aphididae. The record is from the annotation of a GenBank genome assembly.
CCUAGAACGUUUUUUUUCCUCUUUCAAUAAUAUAGUUGCAUUUAACUAUUUCUGAACCUUCGACAAAUGGUUUUUUAAAAUCACCGAUUUAUUGAAUUAUGUCGGUGAUUUCUCUUACAGAAUAAAAUAUUAUGUACUUUUAUUGCUGCAAAUUGUAAGCAAAAUAAGUUUUAAUGAGGAAAUUUUAAAAAAAAACUACUAAUAAUUGGAUUAAUUUGGAUAAAUUACUAUUAUUCUAAUGCUACUAUAGCGUCCAUCUCUCCGUAAGCAUUAUCAUUAGUAUUGAGGUCGACUAGAGCGCAACCUAUAGUUUCUUUCAAUCGUGAAUAUAGAUAUGGCAUGAUAUUGAUUAUUAUCAUAGUUCUA